UACGUAGGGUGCGAGCGUUGUCCGGAAUUAUUGGGCGUAAAGAGCUCGUAGGCGGUCUGUCGCGUCGGCUGUGAAAACCCGAGGCUCAACCUCGGGCCUGCAGUCGAUACGGGCAGACUAGAGUGCGGUAGGGGAGACUGGAAUUCCUGGUGUAGCGGUGAAAUGCGCAGAUAUCAGGAGGAACACCGGUGGCGAAGGCGGGUCUCUGGGCCGUAACUGACGCUGAGGAGCGAAAGCGUGGGGAGCGAACAGG
Molecule: ribosomal RNA, 253 nt
Filed under: uncultured bacterium
Lineage: Bacteria
Description: partial 16S ribosomal RNA
Rfam family: Bacterial small subunit ribosomal RNA
Source: RNAcentral